UCCCGCCUGGGGAGUACGCACGCAAGUGUGGAACUCAAAGGAAUUGACGGGGGCCCGCACAAACGGUGGAAUAUGUGGUUUAAUUCGAUGCCACGCGGAGAACCUUACCAGGGCUUGACAUGUCCGGAAUCCCGGUGAAAACUGGGAGUGCCUUCGGGAGCCGGAACACACGGUGGUGCAUGGCUGUUGUCAGCUCGUGUCGUGAGAUGUUGGGUUAAAGUCCCGCAACGAGCGCAACACCUCGUCUUUAGUUGCCAGCAUUAAGUUGGGCACUCUAGAGAGACUGCCGCUGACAAACCGGAGGAAGAUGGGGAUGACGUCAAGUCAGCAUGCCCCUUACGCUCUGGGCGACACACGUACUACAAUGGUCGGGACAGAGGGCAGCGAACCUCCUGAGGCAAGCUUAUCCCAGCAAACUCGGCCUCAGUUCAGAUCGCAGGCUGCAACUAGCCUGCGUGAAGGAGGAGUCACUAUGUAUNGUCACUCGACUAAUAUACGGCGAUACGUUCUCGCGCCUUGUAUACACCGCCCGUCACACCAUGGAAGCUGCCACGCCCGAAGUCGUACCCUACCUGUCGGGGAAGGGACGCCGAA
RNAcentral lists this ribosomal RNA (594 nucleotides) under uncultured organism. RNAcentral's name for it is "bacterial SSU rRNA". It matches the Rfam family "Bacterial small subunit ribosomal RNA", at positions 867 to 1460 of the family's 1533-position model. The record is from RNAcentral.